Molecule: ribosomal RNA, 584 nt
Filed under: Zygoascus hellenicus
Lineage: Eukaryota; Fungi; Ascomycota; Dipodascomycetes; Dipodascales; Trichomonascaceae
Description: eukaryotic LSU rRNA
Rfam family: Eukaryotic large subunit ribosomal RNA
Source: RNAcentral
CAAUAAGCGGAGGAAAAGAAACCAACAGGGAUUGCCUUAGUAGCGGCGAGUGAAGCGGCAAAAGCUCAAAUUUGAAAUCUGGUACUUUCAGUAUCCGAGUUGUAAUUUGUAGAAGCAACUUUGGUGAUGGUCUUUGCAUAAGUUCCUUGGAAUAGGACGUCAUAGAGGGUGAGAAUCCCGUAUAUGGUGAAGAACCCACACUAUGUAAAGUGCUUUCGAAGAGUCGAGUUGUUUGGGAAUGCAGCUCAAAGUGGGUGGUAAAUUCCAUCUAAAGCUAAAUAUUGGCGAGAGACCGAUAGCGAACAAGUACUGUGAAGGAAAGAUGAAAAGAACUUUGAAAAGAGAGUGAAAAAGUACGUGAAAUUGUUGAAAGGGAAGGGAUCUAAAUCAGACAUGGUAUUUUGUGAUCAACAGUCUUUCGGGAUUGUGCACUCGCAUUUUACUAGGCCAGCAUCGGUUAGAAGGGGGUAAAAAAGAUUUUGGAAUGUGGCUCCUCGGAGUGUUAUAGCCAAAGUUAAUUGCCCCAUUUCUGACCGAGGACCGCGUCUUUUGACUAGGAUGCUGGCGUAAUGGUUUUGAUCCAC